This 2928-nucleotide ribosomal RNA is filed under the name Salmonella sp. HNK130. RNAcentral describes it as "23S ribosomal RNA". It matches the Rfam family "Bacterial large subunit ribosomal RNA". Lineage: Bacteria; Pseudomonadati; Pseudomonadota; Gammaproteobacteria; Enterobacterales; Enterobacteriaceae. The record is from RNAcentral.
GGGUUGUGAGGUUAAGCGACUAAGCGUACACGGUGGAUGCCCUGGCAGUCAGAGGCGAUGAAGGACGUGCUAAUCUGCGAUAAGCGUCGGUAAGGUGAUAUGAACCGUUAUAACCGGCGAUUUCCGAAUGGGGAAACCCAGUGUGUUUCGACACACUAUCAUUAACUGAAUCCAUAGGUUAAUGAGGCGAACCGGGGGAACUGAAACAUCUAAGUACCCCGAGGAAAAGAAAUCAACCGAGAUUCCCCCAGUAGCGGCGAGCGAACGGGGAGCAGCCCAGAGCCUGAAUCAGUGUGUGUGUUAGUGGAAGCGUCUGGAAAGGCGCGCGAUACAGGGUGACAGCCCCGUACACAAAAAUGCACAUGCUGUGAGCUCGAUGAGUAGGGCGGGACACGUGGUAUCCUGUCUGAAUAUGGGGGGACCAUCCUCCAAGGCUAAAUACUCCUGACUGACCGAUAGUGAACCAGUACCGUGAGGGAAAGGCGAAAAGAACCCCGGCGAGGGGAGUGAAAAAGAACCUGAAACCGUGUACGUACAAGCAGUGGGAGCACGCUUAGGCGUGUGACUGCGUACCUUUUGUAUAAUGGGUCAGCGACUUAUAUUCUGUAGCAAGGUUAACCGAAUAGGGGAGCCGAAGGGAAACCGAGUCUUAACUGGGCGUUAAGUUGCAGGGUAUAGACCCGAAACCCGGUGAUCUAGCCAUGGGCAGGUUGAAGGUUGGGUAACACUAACUGGAGGACCGAACCGACUAAUGUUGAAAAAUUAGCGGAUGACUUGUGGCUGGGGGUGAAAGGCCAAUCAAACCGGGAGAUAGCUGGUUCUCCCCGAAAGCUAUUUAGGUAGCGCCUCGUGAAUUCAUCUCCGGGGGUAGAGCACUGUUUCGGCAAGGGGGUCAUCCCGACUUACCAACCCGAUGCAAACUGCGAAUACCGGAGAAUGUUAUCACGGGAGACACACGGCGGUGCUAACGUCCGUCGUGAAGAGGGAAACAACCCAGACCGCCAGCUAAGGUCCCAAAGUCAUGGUUAAGUGGGAAACGAUGUGGGAAGGCCCAGACAGCCAGGAUGUUGGCUUAGAAGCAGCCAUCAUUUAAAGAAAGCGUAAUAGCUCACUGGUCGAGUCGGCCUGCGCGGAAGAUGUAACGGGGCUAAACCAUGCACCGAAGCUGCGGCAGCGACGCUUAUGCGUUGUUGGGUAGGGGAGCGUUCUGUAAGCCUGCGAAGGUGUGCUGUGAGGCAUGCUGGAGGUAUCAGAAGUGCGAAUGCUGACAUAAGUAACGAUAAAGCGGGUGAAAAGCCCGCUCGCCGGAAGACCAAGGGUUCCUGUCCAACGUUAAUCGGGGCAGGGUGAGUCGACCCCUAAGGCGAGGCCGAAAGGCGUAGUCGAUGGGAAACAGGUUAAUAUUCCUGUACUUGGUGUUACUGCGAAGGGGGGACGGAGAAGGCUAUGUUGGCCGGGCGACGGUUGUCCCGGUUUAAGCGUGUAGGCUGGUUUUCCAGGCAAAUCCGGAAAAUCAAGGCUGAGGCGUGAUGACGAGGCACUACGGUGCUGAAGCAACAAAUGCCCUGCUUCCAGGAAAAGCCUCUAAGCAUCAGGUAACAUCAAAUCGUACCCCAAACCGACACAGGUGGUCAGGUAGAGAAUACCAAGGCGCUUGAGAGAACUCGGGUGAAGGAACUAGGCAAAAUGGUGCCGUAACUUCGGGAGAAGGCACGCUGAUAUGUAGGUGAGGUCCCUCGCGGAUGGAGCUGAAAUCAGUCGAAGAUACCAGCUGGCUGCAACUGUUUAUUAAAAACACAGCACUGUGCAAACACGAAAGUGGACGUAUACGGUGUGACGCCUGCCCGGUGCCGGAAGGUUAAUUGAUGGGGUUAGCGCAAGCGAAGCUCUUGAUCGAAGCCCCGGUAAACGGCGGCCGUAACUAUAACGGUCCUAAGGUAGCGAAAUUCCUUGUCGGGUAAGUUCCGACCUGCACGAAUGGCGUAAUGAUGGCCAGGCUGUCUCCACCCGAGACUCAGUGAAAUUGAACUCGCUGUGAAGAUGCAGUGUACCCGCGGCAAGACGGAAAGACCCCGUGAACCUUUACUAUAGCUUGACACUGAACAUUGAGCCUUGAUGUGUAGGAUAGGUGGGAGGCUUUGAAGUGUGGACGCCAGUCUGCAUGGAGCCGACCUGAAAUACCACCCUUUAAUGUUUGAUGUUCUAACGUUGACCCGUAAUCCGGGUUGCGGACAGUGUCUGGUGGGUAGUUUGACUGGGGCGGUCUCCUCCUAAAGAGUAACGGAGGAGCACGAAGGUUGGCUAAUCCUGGUCGGACAUCAGGAGGUUAGUGCAAUGGCAUAAGCCAGCUUGACUGCGAGCGUGACGGCGCGAGCAGGUGCGAAAGCAGGUCAUAGUGAUCCGGUGGUUCUGAAUGGAAGGGCCAUCGCUCAACGGAUAAAAGGUACUCCGGGGAUAACAGGCUGAUACCGCCCAAGAGUUCAUAUCGACGGCGGUGUUUGGCACCUCGAUGUCGGCUCAUCACAUCCUGGGGCUGAAGUAGGUCCCAAGGGUAUGGCUGUUCGCCAUUUAAAGUGGUACGCGAGCUGGGUUUAGAACGUCGUGAGACAGUUCGGUCCCUAUCUGCCGUGGGCGCUGGAGAACUGAGGGGGGCUGCUCCUAGUACGAGAGGACCGGAGUGGACGCAUCACUGGUGUUCGGGUUGUCAUGCCAAUGGCACUGCCCGGUAGCUAAAUGCGGAAGAGAUAAGUGCUGAAAGCAUCUAAGCACGAAACUUGCCCCGAGAUGAGUUCUCCCUGACCCUUUAAGGGUCCUGAAGGAACGUUGAAGACGACGACGUUGAUAGGCCGGGUGUGUAAGCGCAGCGAUGCGUUGAGCUAACCGGUACUAAUGAACCGUGAGGCUUAACCUUACAACGCCGAAGCUGUU